This 72-nucleotide transfer RNA is filed under the name Microcaldota archaeon. Its description in RNAcentral is "tRNA-Thr". It matches the Rfam family "tRNA". From Rfam's summary of the family: Transfer RNA (tRNA) molecules are approximately 80 nucleotides in length. Their secondary structure includes four short double-helical elements and three loops (D, anti-codon, and T loops). Lineage: Archaea; Nanobdellati; Microcaldota. The record is from RNAcentral.
GCCUCUGUAGCUCAGUGGUAGAGCGCACCCUUGGUAAGGGUGAGGUCGCGGGUUCAAUUCCCGUCGGAGGCU